Cygnus olor (mute swan) is the source of this 9364-nucleotide long non-coding RNA. RefSeq lists it as uncharacterized. The transcript has 3 exons. The record is from RefSeq and is a predicted model, not a curated record. Lineage: Eukaryota; Metazoa; Chordata; Aves; Anseriformes; Anatidae.
CUGGCCUUGAACACCUCCAGGGAUGGGGCAGCCACAGCUUCUCUGGGCAACCUGUGCCAGUGCCUCACUACCCUCUGAGUGAAGACUUUCCUCCUGAGUUUAGGCACUCUGGUGUAAAAGAUUUAUUGUCAUAGUCAAGAUGCCCGAUCAUACCAUAGGAAACCCACUAUUGGGUAUGGCAUUAAAGUACUACAUAAAAUAAAUACUGAUCACGAUCUUGUUUCCAAAGUCAAUACGCUUCAUUUCCACACAAGUGAAUUCUCCUUUUUCAGAGUCACAAAGAUUUCUAGAAAGUGGUAACAAAUGAAAGUGGGCAUGCUUCUCCCCGCCAUUCUUUAUCCAUAGUGAAAUAAGAAGAAAAUAGACAGUGUAAUUCAACUCCAACAGGCCAUUUCAUGAGUAAAUUUCUGUUACUUUUUUAAGGAGAGCAGGAUGCUUACUGUAGACAUUAACAUUUUGCUAUCCAGAAUUCUUUUCAUCUCAUAGCUAUUACCAGGCAGUGGCAUUGUUAAAGCCCAAAAGAUAAUGAAGAUUUAAGCCCAUUCGAUUAGCUUCAAAACAUUUGCUAUUAAAAAAAAUUAAAAACCUCAGCUAAUACAGUUAAUCAGAUGAAUGCUAGAAACAAUUUGCAUGUUCAUAUUAAUAUAUGAAUAUGAAGAAAAAUAUUAGACAAUUUCAGCAACACAGUUAUAUAUUCCAAUUUCUACUGUGAUCUUCAAAGUAAUAAAUGAUCAAGCAGUUGAGAAUCACACCCUUUGACAAACUAUAAUACUCCAUGCUAUAUGAAUUUACAGGCAUUGUCAUUAUUUCCUAAGAUCCUACUUUUAAGCAUCACCAACAGGUUAAGGGUUGGCAUUGGAGUUUCUGAUGAUACUCAGACUUGCACCUUCACUCCCUGCAUGUAAGUAGGUUCCCACCUGUAUGAGGGACUGCUCACACCUGUACAUACAACUCUGCUCAGCCAGCAAUUGUUGUUCCUUCUUUGCUUCUGCCACACCUCUAAUUUCAUUGAAAGAUGAAAUUAUGAUCUUCCUUAUUUGCUUUCAUGUUCUGUAGUCAGCUGGUAGUUAACUACCAGCAACUUCUCCAUAUUUGCUCCACAUGACUUUUAGUGCUUGUACAGAAACGAUAGCAUUCCAUUUAUGCUCCUUUCCUUCCUCUAUACUCUUCCUUUUCACUGAGUUUAUUCUCUCUUGGGGUUUUAGUUGCUCAUUCAAGAUUAUAAGAGUUAUUAAUCACUUCGUAUGAGUCACAGGAAAUUAAUUUCUUUUUCUAUUCACUUACCUCAGUGAGUGAACCAUUGGAGAAGUUGUGUUAAAGCCUUCAGAGGAAAUCAACAUCACUGUGUUGGUGGAGUAUCACAAUCUUGGCCACUACUAGAGUAAGGACAUUCAGAUUGCAAUACAAUACGACAGUGCUCCUUUAUCUGUCUGCUGGGAAAAGGCCUGAUAUUGGUAGGAAAAAUUUAUUCUACAAACCCAAUGAAAAUACUCUUCCAAAGACAAAAUCUUCAAUAAUCUGUGUUCAAACUGUGUGUUUCUUAGCUACGAACAGAAAACAGGAGGAUGACCUCCAUCUAUUUCGAAGUGCCUGCUUUAAUCCUGCUUACAUUCUCCCCUCCCUUUCUUUCAACACCAGACGUUUGUUACCUGUAUGGUUUGUCAGCAUUCCUUUAUGGAGGUUUGCUAAUGCAUCAGGCUUUGCUGACAGAUUACUUGCAAUUAGAUUAGCUGAGGUUCUCACCUUGACAAUACUGGUAGUGGUUGUAGGGAUUUUUGCAUGGCAAAGGAGCCUUUGUUUUAGGUACUUUCUUCUCACGAAAUUCUCCAGAGUUUCAUUAUGAAAAUCACUUUUUCUGUAGCCCCAUUCCUCUGUGUGUUUGCAUUUCUAAGGAAGACCUCAAAUGUAACACCUCUCUUUUAUAUGUUUAAAUCAUUCCUCAUUAAAUGACAUUUCUCCCAGGGUAAACCCUUCACAUGUUCCUCCCUCCACUCACCUGUCCAGGAGAUUCUGCACUCCUUUCUCCUUUCCUGACCAUCACGUUGCUUGGCUAAACAAACUGAACCCUUUAUCUCUUGUAGGAGAGAGCAUACAUCUCCCUAACUAUUCCAGCUGCCCCUCUCUGCUCUUAUUUGUUUAAUCUUUCAUGAGCGUAACAUGCUACAAUUUUGUGCCAUAAUUACUAUUGAAAAUGUUUGCUCCUAAGUCUGAUUUGUCGUUAAUCUCCCUUUCACUUGAUGUAUUGCUUUUCUGCAUGUGCUGCAGUAAUUGCGGAACCCUUAUCCACCUUUCAGUUCUUCUGUUAAAUGCUACUCUCUCCUCCUUAACUAAUAUUCCCUGUAUGGAAUUGCACCAAAUCCAUUUGGCAUCCAGGCAAAGUUGAUUGCAGUUUCUUGUAUUUAAUGUAAGCCCAUUUUACAUUCACUUUUCAUUUUUGGAGUUUGCUUUGGUUAAGAGGGUAUUCAAACCAAAGACAUUCUGAGUUGCACAGGACCAGGGAAUUUAUCGUAACAGAGUUUGUCCCAAGGGAAAUGGAAAUGGAAAUGUUUCUGCUGUGUGACAACUAUUUCUGUAGCUUCUGGGCCAAUGACCCAUUAUGUCUCUACAGAAAAUGGCUUCUGUGAAUAUGCCUUUGGCUAGAUGGAUAGUACACAGUACGUGGGGCUGAGAAGGGCAGAGUCACUCUGGAAAUCAAUAGGAAACAGAACAGCCUGUGCUAGGCAUUUUGCUCCCCAUCAUAUCCCUGCUGGGAAACAGAGCAGGUGCAGGAUAAGGAGAGAUGAUCGUAUUAUUCCCAGGGGUUUGGAUAUGAAUUCACUCUCCUUGCUGCCUCCCUCUUCCCACAGCAAGUACAUAAUGUGAAGAGUUUUUGCUUCAGUUUCAGAUGUAAAUCAUAUUUUUAUCUUUUUUUUUUUUCUUUAAACUUAAUCUGCUUUAACAUUUUCAUGCUGGACAGUAGAGAAAUCCACUGAAAUGUAUUAAGUUCAAAGACAUGCCACAGACACAUUUCACUUCUUCUGUAUCUUUGCAAUGAUAUAGAAGGCAUGUAUAUCACUCUUGUCAAGUCUUAAGACUUAAAACAUUGGUGAAAUGACUGCUUAAGUCACUCCUGCAGGCCUUAGAAACCAGCCUUGUACCUGUUUAUUUCUUUCUCUGAAGAGAGGGAUUCCUCCUACAUCCGUGUACUGAUGUUCAAGAGAACAUUACAGAAGAGCCGGUGAAGGGAUGUUAUUCAUUUAUCAAGUUUGGCAGACACUGCUGCAUUAGAUCAUAUUCUGAAAGUUUUCCUUGUGCCAGAAAGGCCAGGCUCAAUUUAGGUGAGCUGUAAUCUAUGCAGAAACUGGCUAAGGUAAACGCAGUUACCUCAUCAGCACGUAGGCCCUCACUGAUACUCUGAGGCUACAAUUUUGCUUCAGAGGGCAAAUAAUUAAAAAUAGGAAUUUAAAGCAGGACUCCUUGAGCUUUGACUUUGGUGGCCAGCUGGGCAUAAUUUAUUUCAGAGAAAGCAGAGCUUUUAGUAAUUUUUUCGAGGAAAAAAAAAAAAAGCCACCAGGGUCUUCUAAAACCUGAGCAUCACCUAAAAUACAUGGGCUGUUAGAAGUGCUUUGGUUACACGGAUCAGUUCACUCAGUCACAUCAAUUAACAAGUCUCCUGGGGAAGUUGGGGGGAAUUAUUGGAACAAGCCAUCUGCAGUGUUUUUGAAUCUGGCUAUGCUGACAUCAAAUUAUUCCUUAAUAUUUAAAAUAUUAGUUAUAUUUUAAUGGAAGUCUGAAAAGCACUGAAAUUGCUUCCAUGAUGAGUGCAGUUUUACAUAGUUUAUCAAACCCUAGUUAUUGAAAAUAAUAUGACUGUAAAUAGGAACUGAAACAUGCCUCAAUAAUCACUAGGAGAAAGCUGGGAACAACUGAUACAAUAUAAACUAGCCAUGAAAGGGAAAUGUAUUGCCUACACAGUGUUAUGCUUGCUGAAGGGCCACACAGUACACCAUGACCACAUGCUUGAAAACUCUGGUGACUCAUACAGAACAGGCCGAUGAAUAAGACCAUCUUCCUUCAUCAGUGUACAACACUGACCAGAAAUUUACCCAAUAAAUGGUUCCAUUGUGAGCAGCAAUUUACCAUGCCCCAAAUCCUUAUAAUUAACUACAUAACCAUAAAAAAUGUUACUGCCAGGUUUAUAAUGCAUCAGUGCAGAAAGCGCUCUAAAUACCUUUAAAGGACGGUUCACACAUUUGUUGUUUCCCAUCCCACUCAUUUUACAGCCAAAGGAGGCUGGAAUGCUGUGUUACUGGCAUUCCCAUUAAUUUGAUUUACCUUCUUUCCCUUUGAAUUUUUGCUUCUGAAGUCUAUCGGGUAGUGCCUUAUAACAAAGUUCAUACUGUAAAUAAGCGAGAUUGCUUUUCUAAUUUACAUAUAAAUUCAUAAAAGAACUAAAAGUUGAAAUGACAUUGUUAAUUACAGACGAAAUUGAACACUGGGAUCUAAGUGGCAGUUAGAUAAUACCUAUGAAUUACAGACUCAAGACACUAAGUAAUAAGCUUCUUUGCUGCUUUUAAAGUACCAGCGUGAACCUUGUGAUUCAAAAGCCUGAGAAAAAUCUUCCUGAGAUGGAAAAAUGCCCUGUCCAAGGGCUACUCUUCAGCCACAUUCUCCCAGCAUCAGCCUAUUUGACUCAGUUCUACGACCACUGGAUAGGAGCACUGCAGAAGCAGCAGCAGAGGAGCAUAGCAAAUUAAUUAAUUUUUACUAUCUCUUCCCAAUUAAAAUUGCUCUGUAAUGUCCUAUGGCGGAGUUGAUUUUUUCUUUGAAGUGAGCCAAAUUUUCCUUUAACACAAAUUAGCACCUGUGGCUAUUUACUCACAUCAUAGUCAGCUUAGUAUUUUGGUCUGUUUUUCACGGUAAAAAAUUUUCACAAGGCCUGAGGAAACUGGAGGUUUUCCAAACAUGAGAUUAAAAAUGAAAUAUUUUGGUAAAUAUAAGAGACAUUCAGAAGACAUUUUCUUACAUAUUCAUUGGAACUUAGUUUCCAUUUUGUCUUUCAGUCUCACGAUUUCGGUCAAGUAAGAGCUUUCUACCUAAAUAUUUAUAGUUCCUACAGCUACUAGUGUCAGGACUGCUUUGCUGUGGCUUUUUACAGAAUAUUUACGCGUGUCAUACCACCUAUUUUCUAUAUGACACUCCAGAAUAAUGAAAUCAAUUGGAAAGCAAUCAAGGCAGUCAAUUAAUCCCUUUUGAAAUUUGCAAUUCACGGAUUUUGCCCUCUAAUAUAGCCUUGACUACAGAAUCUGUUUUGCAGAACAGAUCCCCCUGCUCAAUAAAUAAAUAAAUAAAUAAACAAACAAAUAAAUCUAGACUUCUAUUUACUCAAAUAAUUCUACACAUUAAAAUAUGAAACUUUUCCAGAUCCCUUUAAAAACAACCAAUCAAUCAUCACAUCAAUCAUCACAUGAAAAUUUUUCCUGGCAGGGAUUUGUUAUGAAGUCGGAGCUAAAAUUUGUCAACAAGAAGUUCUUUAAUAAUGAGAUAUGAAUAGUGACCUGAAUUUCUCAUGUUUCUGAAACUUGCAUUUUGCCCGUUGAUGUGUUUUGGCUCAGCUGAUGAAAGUCAUCACAGCCGAUUCUGCCGCUGAAUCAUAUCAGUGGAUCCUUUGGAGGCGGUGGUGUGAACAGACCAUUGCUGAAUGACAGUAAUUUUUGACAGGCAUGGGGGCUGUUGGAAACUCUUGCCAGUCAUGGUCCAUCAAAGUAGCUUCAGGGCUCCUCCAGUUUAUGCUAAGUGCUAAUUGCCUCCUGGCAGUCCCAGCAGCCAAGCAAUGCACACAGCCAUUCUUGCUGUCUCCUGCCCUUUCAGGCUCUGCUGAGAACACACCUGAGCCAGCCCUAAGGAUGAGAACCUGAGUACACCAGAACAAAAAAUCACUGUGCUUCCCCCUUCAAAAUGUAAGGAACUAGAUUCAGUGUGUAUUUCAUUUGUACCAGUAAGACAACACAGGCUGCCAUAAGAAACAAAGAUGUUGUCUUUAGAGCAUUUACGUGGCUUCUAAAACUCUGAUGUAGACAGUGGGUAGUACUGUAAAAUAUUUCUCUUGAAUAAGAUCACGCAUUAAAAGAAAUCAUGUAAUCUUUUAUCUUUGCUAUUUCUAGCCAAAAGUACUGCUUUUGCACUUCCACAGCAUCUGCUAUUUGAAUACGUCAGUCAACUAAAUCUCAGAAUACUUGGAUAAAUCUUAAUCCAUUAAUGAAUGCAAAGUCCGGGUACAAAGAAGUAAUUUCUGCAGUAAUGACUAUCGAUGAGUAUGCAUUUCAAGAUGAUUACAUUCCAAGUACUUAAGAAAUAACCAUUUAAGAAAUAAACUCAUAAGAAAUAAAGUAAAUUUCAUUUGUUAUUUUUUGAGUAAUGAACCUGAGUAUUUAUUUAUGGGUUUAUUGUUCUGUGAAUCAGAUCACAACAAUCAGGGGAUACAGUUUUUAAUAUAAACAUGUUAUUUGUGUAUAUUAGAGGUCCAGACAUACAUUAUCAUUUCCUGAAAAUACUUCAAUCUCCCAGUCUUUAUGCAAAAGUGUGGCCCUUGGGCUCUGGGCAGGUUGUAGAUUAAAUUCUCAUUUGGCUAAAUCUGAUUACCCUGUAGGUUACUAAUAUUGCUUAGUGAUAGUGGAAGUUGAAAAUUGCAAACAGAAAAGUCCCUUUAAAAAGGGACCAGAAAGCGUCAGCUUCUAAGUAACAAAUUGGACUUUUGAACUAAAUUUUAUCACUAGGAAUUUUCAGUUAAACAUUCACAGUAGUUUCUACCAUUACUUUUAAAACUCUAAUAAAAUUGAGAAAUGUGUUUUAUUUCAAAAAGGUUAAGGUGUUCAGAUCCUGCAGGGCGCUGGAAUCACUUCAAACCAACCUUUAGUCGGUCUGCCUGUCAAUUCUCAUUUGACACUUCUUCCUACCCCUCUCAUAUUUUAUUGAAAUUAAUGCUCCAGUAGAUAAAUUCUUAGCAAAAGAAUUAACAACCCCCCCCAAGAUUCCCAGAACACAACCAUCUCUAAGUCAUUACAAACUAUCUAAAAUUAUUUGAAUAUUACCAAAACAUUGUUGCUUUAUUAUGCAUUUAUGGAUGAGACAGAUUAAAAAGACACAUGCUGACACUACUAAAUAUGAAAUAGUGCUGUUCCUUCUGACAGGAUUAGCUAAAUACUCAGAUGAUGAGAACACUCCUCAGCAUUUUUCCUUAUACUCAGAUAACGUGCAUUGAAAAGGCACUCUUUGAUCUAUUUCAGUAGCUCCAGUUACCGUACCAGGCCUUUGUAUACAUAAAAUUAUUUUCAGUAGUCUAUGGGUGCUCCUCUUCCUUGCUUUGAUGUAUAAAGGUUUUAUAAUCAAUAAUAAGUGAAAGCAGCUCACAUUACUACAACUGUUCUGAGUCAAGAAAAAAAUAUCAAAAUUAAUGUGACACUGGCAAAAAUGAUAUGGCCUUUGACUUCAGAAAGUGUAAUUAUCUUGGUAAAUGUAUGUGGUUUUGGUAAUGAGACUCAAAAUUUCAGAUGGAUUAUUUUUAAUAGCAUCUUUUCACGGUGGCUUUCUUCCAUAUUCUAAAUCAGAGCUCACCACUUACCUCAUAAACACAUGCCUUGCUCCUUCAGUAGGCUUUAGAUGAAGGAGCCCAGCAGGCCACACAGAACCUUAAUGAAGGAAAUGCCUUAAAGGCAUUAACUUCACCUACAAGCAUCUCAGAGUAGAAUCCCCGUCUGAUCUGUCUCAUGCUGAUCACCUUGUUUUCAGGUGACUGACAUAAGAGUACAUAUUCAGAAGUCAGUUUUGUAACUGUGCUUUUGUUACUGAAAACGUUCCCUGUUGCAUACUAAGGAGUAGCUCCAAUGAAACAGAGUAAAGAUUUAGAGUAGUUUCACAACUACUGUGAGUUGACUGAAGUGCGAUCCAAACCUUCCAUCUCAACUCCCCCAUCUCCCUGAUGCCACCAGUAGAAUUCUUCUAUCUGCAUGCUGAGGCAUGUUAAUUCAACUGACAUCUACCACUUUUUACUUGGAUUAGUCCUAGUAGUGAGUCAGUUUCCUCAUCGUGCUCAGCUGGCACACACAAAAGUGUUUGUGUUAAUAGAAGUGAGCAGCUCAGAUGGAAAUGUUUCUUUUGAUUGACCUCUACCCACUUAGAGUAUGUGAAACUACCUUGGGGACCUUAAGCACGGGCCGUAGGAACAUAUGGCUAUCAACCACCAGGCCACUGGGGUUCUGGUCUCUGCCUUUUGGAGAUACUUUCAUACAUUAUCCAGUCAUUUUCCCACAUUUUACAUUGAAAUUAUUUACUAAAAUGUGCGUUCACAUUGUGGUCAAAGCACAUAUGCUGUAACGUGAUUUAAUGUAAAGCCCUGAAGAAUUACAUUACAUAGCCACAGUAGUCUACUUCAAAACCAUACUUCCCUAAAUAAACAUAUCAUUUUCUCUUUUUAAUAAAUACAUACCUUUUACCUUUGAUGUAGUAAACAGCAUUCACAAAUAAUAUUCUCCUAGAGCCACUGUUUUUCCACCUCAAACACUAUUAAUAGGUAUGUUAAUUUACUAAUAACACACCUAUUAGAACCACAAUUCAGUGACCAUUUUAACCCCAAUGAUAUCAUCGCUGUAUGAAACACUGUGAUCCAUUAUGGUAUCAUUAAUAUUUAAUUUUCCAGAGGAAUCAUUAGUUCAUUAGUACCAACAAGCCAAUUUUUGCUCAAGCUGAAAAAGCUUAUCAAUAAAUCAUGCCAUGUUUAGAUAGGAAAAACGGGUCAAUGGCUACAGAACUCACAUUUCCAAAACCAGAACCUUCCCUACAACACAGCUUUGGGGAAAACAUGCUUCAUUUGACAACAUUCUUUUUAUAAAAAGAUCCUUUCAGUAGGUACUGCAUCAAAACAAUCAGUCCAUUGAACUGUAUGAUAAGACACUGAGAACAUUCAGAGUAUGGAACUUCUUUUAAAUUACAGAUACAUGGCAUAACAUUUUAAGACUUCACUUAUAUCAGCUUCCUCCCAACUGAGAUUACAUUCCUUGAGGCCAGACACCCUCCACCUCCCCCUAGCAAGUUUUUUCGAGUGCCUUAAGAAACUGGUGAGAAUAUCAUGUUCUUCUCCUCAUACAGCUGAGAACCAGUUUAAUUUUUUACCAAAAUUAAAUAUCUGGCAAUGCAUGUGUUUUAAUGCUCAGCAGCUAGAACCUUCAACAACCAAAGGUUAGAGGAACUCUUGUCCAAGGGAAUACAUUCCCUCAAAUGAAAAAAAAAUUAUCUAAGAAGACCCCAUCUAUUGCUUUAGUCAUUUAUCUGAAAUUUUAUCUUAAAAUUUCAUUAAAAAUAGAAAACAAUACUAUCUAAGGAGACCCCA